CGACCUCAGGUCAGGCAAGACAACCCGCUGAGUUUAAGCAUAUCACUAAGCGGAGGAAAAGAAACUAACAAGGAUUUCCCUAGUAGCGGCGAGCGAAACGGAAAGAGCCCAGCUUGGAAAUCGGGGUGUCUCUGCACCCCGAAUUGUAGUCUGGAGAAGGGUCCUCUGCAGCGGACCGGGUUUAAGUCCCUUGGAACGGGACGCCAGAGAGGGUGAGAGCCCCGUCUAGCCCGGACCCUGCUGCAUCACGAGGCUCUUUCGGCGAGUCGGGCUGUUUGGGAAUGCAGCCUUAAGUGGGUGGUAAAUUCCAUCCAAGGCUAAAUACUGGUGAGAGACCGAUAGCGCACAAGUACCGCGAGGGAAAGAUGAAAAGGACUUUGAAAAGAGAGUUAAAAAGUGCUUGAAAUUGCUGGGAGGGAAGCGAAUGGAUGCCUUGUGCGCCCCUUGGUUGUGUGUGGAACGGCGAGAGCUGGUCUGCCAAGCAAUGCAAGGGGCUGUCCAGCAUGGGAGGACGCGGCGGGAUAACGGCUUGUGAGCCUCUGGCUCCCUGCCAAUGCCGCCGCUGCCUCUGAAAAUGGCAGGGUGCUCCGGUGCCCCGCCAGAUGCUGGAACUUGGGCGUUCCAUCCGACCCGU
RNAcentral lists this non-coding RNA (634 nucleotides) under Selaginella moellendorffii. Its description in RNAcentral is "Eukaryotic large subunit ribosomal RNA". It matches the Rfam family "Eukaryotic large subunit ribosomal RNA", at positions 1 to 652 of the family's 3401-position model. The record is from Rfam by way of RNAcentral. Lineage: Eukaryota; Viridiplantae; Streptophyta; Lycopodiopsida; Selaginellales; Selaginellaceae.